UGGGGAGCGGAUUGCCUGGGAAUGCGCUAACUCCCAGUCACCCAACGAUGCUGCAGCAAGAGACAGUCCUUUUGCUCAGCACGUCACACAACUAAGAUAAGUUAUUUCAGCAAGAACUCGUGCUGAGGAAAUCCGAGUUGAGCUGAGUGAGAUGCAAGAGGGACUAGCUGUGGUGGCUCUCCUAAAUGAAAGUAUUAAUGUAGAUGAGGUUACAGCCAGCCUCACUUAAGAUAUAAAUGCAAUGCAAGAGGAUUUCCUUACCCUUUGUGUAUGUGGCAUUACAUGAUGUUGUCUGAAAAAAAACAAAUAACAGUUAAACACAGUGGACCUUUUUCCUGCAGCAAACCAAGGCACAGAGCAGCACAACUCUGGAUAAACCAAAGAACCCUCUUCUUGCCAAACUUGCAAUAUGUCUUCAAGAAAUAAAGGUUCGGAGACAGGCUUAUUAUUCAAAUACAUUCAUUGGCAACCAAGUCAACAAGUGUGUUAAGAAGAAAAAUAUCAUUAAGAUCACACAAGCCAUUGUAGAAGAAACUUUGCAUCUGUGUCCAUCUUGGUCGAGGAGGAUGAAGUAAUAGCUGCAAAAUAUGAACACCUCUUCACGCUCUUUGCAUCAUGUCAUGGUGCAUACAACACAGCAAGUGUUCUCAGUGAUGCUGAAAUUGACAAACUUUAUGAUGACAUAAAAAAUACCUGGAUUUCUUCUGUGCUCACUUCCCAGCAGAAACAGCGCCAUCACAGAUGCACAUUACGGAGAGGCAUAUCAUGCCCUUCAUUGCAGCCACAAAAGCACGGGUUUGGACUUCUUGGUGAACAAGGAGGCGAAUGCAUGCAUGCAGAGUUUAACAACCUGAAUGCAUGAUAUAAUGGAGCUAGAAACACUGCCAAGAAGGAUGUGGAACCACACAAACUAAUGUGUGUCAUGAGGGAACACCUGUUGAGUGUGACACCAUCAAUUGCUAGUGUAUGCCCACAGCAAAUCCCAAAGAAGAGGAAAUCAGAAAGUUUAUAGGCAUUAUCACUCUAUAUGUGUGUAAACAAAGACAGCAAAAUCAAUUAUUAAACUUUAUUUAUUAAAGAUAAACACUUUCUUCUUUCCACCAACAAAGACACAGCUGACAAUAUGUUGGAGAAGACUUAAAAAGAUACAUGUACUCUUGGUCCAUAAGACACCAACCUCCAAACCAUGCAGUAACUUUUGAUGUAUAGAGGCAUGCGUAGCCUUAGCCAUGUUAUAAGCACGUUUUGCAAAUAUUAAAAACAUAUUCUAUAAACCAAAAACCGAUAUAUUUGUAAAUGAACGUACAUGUACUGUGCAAUGGUGUAAACACACAGGCCUAUUUGUCGUGUAUAUGUAUGUCUUUUUCAAACUUGUUAAAAAUACUGCUAUUUGAAGAUACAUGCCUAACGGCAUGUACUUCGGAGCAACUCCUUCACAGUGAGGACGCCCAUGAAACCACCAUGCGGCGCACGUAGACCUCUCACGGGUAUUCCUCUAAGAUGUAGUGUAUCAAUGUAAACAUCAGCGUGUCAUGUAAUGCCUUGCAAGUGCGUACCGUUAGGUUUGCACAGAUCACAGAGCUCCGAUACAUUGUAAAAGGUCCAUUCUUCACGAUGGAUUUCAAGCGUAGACUGGCAAAACUGUAGGAGCAAUGCUUUUGAGGCUUUAACAACGGUCAAAAGUCCAGUAAUCGUCGAUCAUUCACCAACAGACAUUAACUUUUAGACACAAAGUGGCCGAACGUACCCUCAAUUUAAAAGUCAAUUUUGUGUUUUUAAC
Molecule: long non-coding RNA, 1780 nt
Organism: Acanthaster planci (crown-of-thorns starfish)
Lineage: Eukaryota; Metazoa; Echinodermata; Asteroidea; Valvatida; Acanthasteridae
Source: RefSeq, a predicted model, not a curated record